RNAcentral lists this unclassified non-coding RNA (2084 nucleotides) under Leishmania donovani. RNAcentral's name for it is "gene:LdHU3.01.0520(CDS-product:nicotinamidase_put ative)". The record is from RNAcentral. Lineage: Eukaryota; Euglenozoa; Kinetoplastea; Trypanosomatida; Trypanosomatidae.
UCCCUCUAUCUACGUGUCUGAGCCUCAUCACAUUCUAACCACACAGGGCUCCUGCGCCGGCACGCACUGCCACGAUCACCGCCUCUGCCGCCCACCUACCCACCGCCUCUCCUCCGUACCGGCCUUCCCGUGUUUGCCUUGAAGACUCACCGGCUCGUUCACCGCCGUCGAUAGCCGCACCGCAACACGAAACAGUGCACUGCUGUCCGACGGCUCCACACCCGUCUCUCUUUUCCGGAUUCCUCCCCUCCUCGUCAUUCUCCCGUGGAAGGCCCCGCAUGCCGUGGGCGACCACCCUCGAUCCCAAGGCCCCGCCGCCGCCGACGCUGUGCGUCACCGUUAGCAGCACGACCGAUGUGCUCAUCAUCGCCGACAUGCAGGUAGACUUCUUGGCACCUGGCGGCUCUCUCCACGUAAAGGGAGGUGAAGCGCUGCUGGAUGGUAUCAACGCCGUGUCUUCCCAGUUGCCGUUCCGCUACCAAGUCGCCACGCAGGACUGGCAUCCGGAGAAUCAUUGUUCCUUCGUCACCCAUGGCGGGCCGUGGCCACCGCACUGUGUGCAGGGCUCGGCGGGAGCGCAGCUGCACGCAGGGCUCCACACGCAGCGCAUCAACGCGGUUAUACGUAAAGGUGUCACGCAGCAAGCGGACAGCUACUCCGCCUUCGUGGAGGACAACGGGGUGUCGACGGGUCUGGCCGGGCUGCUGCACUCCAUCGGCGCGCGCCGCGUCUUUGUGUGCGGGGUGGCCUACGAUUUCUGCGUCUUCUUCACCGCAAUGGACGCGCGAAAAAACGGCUUCAGCGUAGUGCUGCUGGAGGACUUGACGGCCGCCGUGGACGACGCGGCGUGGUCGGCACGAACAGCAGAGCUGAAGGACGCCGGUGUCGUGCUGCUGAAGAGUUCUGCACUCGUGGCGGAAGGCACACAGACGUAAGUGGGCGCAAGGGCGAGAAGGAGUCAGUUGGAGCGAGCAAGAGACGACGCGGCAACGAAGCGCCGGUGCGCGCGGUGUGUGCACAGUGAGGUGGUGCUGCUGUGCCGCCGCCGCCGCCGCUGCGCUUACAGACGAAGUCUGUAUAGGCAGACGAAGCGAUGCCGUUCAUCUGGGUGGCCACCGCCAUCACCGCCACCCGCUCUUCUCCUGGGGCAACCCUUUACGCUCCCUUUUCUGUCACGUUUGCCCAUCGAAGCGUUGUUGAUACCCCUUCCGUUGGCACGCGCACAGGCAUGACGACGGCGACGGCGGCGGACAAUGCAGACCUUAACUGCCUUCUAGUUCUACUUAAGCCUCGUGUCACAUCUAUACGCACGUGCACGCGCAUGCGCACGCACAGGCGUGCAUGCACGCAGCCGAGGUUCUCCUUUCCGCCUUCUUAUUCCGUCACGAAACCCUUUUUUGUACGCGCAGCAACGUCAAGGGCAACGUGGGCGCGCUAAGAACGAAACUUUUUUCGAAAACCGGAAGAAGUGAUCGCAUCACUUGAGAACGAGAUUGUCUGCCACGUGGGUCGAUGCGCUCUGCACGCACGCACACGCACAGCCUCCGCGCAUUUCGGUCGCACUCUCUCACCCCCCCCCGACACACACACCACCACUACCACCCUCCUCCUUCGCCUGUCUCGCUGGAAUCGUGGGGACGAAAGGCGGAGAGACCAUGAGAAAACGCGUGUGUCCGUGUGCCUGCGUGUGUGUGUGUGUGUGUGUGACGGAAAGCCUGGCGGACGUUCUUGCCUCUUGCUGAUCGACGGCACAUUGGAGGUAGGUAUGCACGCACGGAAGCGGCAGAGAGGGGCAGCCACGAACAGCAACAUGCCCUUCGUGAGCCACUCCAUGCGGCAUGCGUCGCGCCCUUCCACCAGCGUCGCCACCGCCACCGCCACCGCGACCUUCCUCUUCUCUCUCUUUUCUGCCGCUGUGAUGAUGCUCACCUGUCCUCCGCCGUCUCUCCCACACCACCACCGCCUCAACACCUCUCUCGUCCUCCUCCCCACUCCCCUCAAAAAAACAAAAAAAAAACAACGACGACCACCUUCGAUGCGCCUCCGUACACUAUAUCGCGGCCCUCCCUCCAUCAUGCGCACAG